Small nucleolar RNA from Mercurialis annua (annual mercury), 86 nucleotides. The record is from RefSeq and is a predicted model, not a curated record. NCBI's taxonomy places the organism in Eukaryota, Viridiplantae, Streptophyta, Magnoliopsida, Malpighiales, Euphorbiaceae.
UGCAAUCUAUGAUGCAAUUAUAAUUUAGUUUCUGAGUUCACUUUGAUUAAUUUAACACUAAUCACCAUCUUUCGGCUGAGAUUGCA